ACCUAAUAGAUACCCAGGUAGUCCACGCCCUAAACGAUGCGAACUGGAUGUUGGGUACAUUACGGUACUCAGUGUCGAAAGCUAAACGCGUUAGGUUCGCCGCCUGGGGAGUACGGUCGCAAGACUGAAACUCAAAGGAAUUGACGGGGGCCCGGCCACAAGCGGUGGAGUAUGUGGUUUAAGUUUACGAUGCAACGACGAAGAACCUUACCCUGGCCGUUCGUACAUCUGUCGAAUCCUGCAGAGAUGCAGGAGUGCCGCAAGGAACGACAAGACAGGUGCUGCAUGGCUGUCGUCAGCUCGUGUCGUGAGAUGUUGGGUUUAAGUCCCGCAACGAGCGCAACCCUUCGUCCCUACGUCGCCAGCACAUCAUGGUGGGAACUCUA
This 386-nucleotide ribosomal RNA is filed under the name uncultured bacterium. Its description in RNAcentral is "bacterial SSU rRNA". It matches the Rfam family "Bacterial small subunit ribosomal RNA", at positions 771 to 1142 of the family's 1533-position model. The record is from RNAcentral.